This 400-nucleotide long non-coding RNA is filed under the name Salmo salar (Atlantic salmon). Its description in RNAcentral is "lncRNA (ENSSSAG00000087785.1)". Lineage: Eukaryota; Metazoa; Chordata; Actinopteri; Salmoniformes; Salmonidae. The record is from RNAcentral.
CAUGUUCUCUGUUCUCAGCAUUAUACUGUGAUGUAAAGUCCUCUAUUUCUUUCUCUAUUGAAGCAGAUAGCAGGUAGCAGGUAAUAGGUAGCAGAUAGCAGGUAGCAGAUAGCAGGUAGCAGCUGGCAGGUAGCAGAUAGCAGGUAGCAGAUAGCAGGUAGCAGAUAGCAGGUAGCAGGUAAUAGGUAGCAGAUAGCAGGUAAUAGGUAGCAGAUAGCAGGUAGCAGAUAGCAGGUAGCAGGUAGAAGUUAGCAGAUAGCAGGUAAUAGGUAGCAGUUAGCAGGUAACAGGUAGCAGAUAGCAGGUAGAAGAUAGCAGGUAGAAGUAGGCAGGUAGCAGAUAGCAGGUAAUAGGUAGCAGAUAGCAGGUACCCUGUUAGCAGGUAAUAGGUAGCAGAUAG